Molecule: long non-coding RNA, 3159 nt
Filed under: Homo sapiens (human)
Lineage: Eukaryota; Metazoa; Chordata; Mammalia; Primates; Hominidae
Description: non-protein coding LINC00662:59
Source: RNAcentral
CUGCCACGAUUCUUCCUGUGCUCCAUAGGAGGACCCAUUGGACCCCCGGGCUGGCUGCAGGGCCCACACCUGGGUUAGACCUCGCACAGGGACGCUGCUGCCACUGUAAUAAAGCGUGCCUACACGCUUCUGAAACUGGUGUAGGAACAACCUCAGUUCUGUGAAAGGCGGACGCAGCAGGACAGAAUCUCCGUGGACAUCUGUCUGGAGGAGCAAUUUUACUGCGACAUUUUAAAGAAACAAAUUUAAUUGAUUUCCAAGGGUGUCCAUCGCGCUUCCUUCACUGCCUUGAUCAUGUCGGGGUCACCACCUGCGGGGGUUUGUCCUGCAGACCCUGACUCAACGACGGAUGAAUAAUGUACACUGACACAGAUCUUAUGCUUGUCAGUCCUGCUGAGCAUCCAGGCCACUUACAGACUCCAAGAAGAGUCCUGUCAGCCACGGCUCUGACUUGUUGGCCCUCCCGGCAUUUAUUUAGCACACAUUUAAUGACAGAAGUCUCAGGCUGGAAACACUCUUUUUGUAGAACAUACAAAUGGACAUUUCUAAGCACAUUGAGGCCUAUAAUGAAAAAUCAAAUAUCCCACAAUGAAAACUAGAAGGAAGCUAUCUGUGAUAAUGCUUUGUGGUGUAUGGAUUCAUCUCACUGACUGAAACCUGAGUUUUGAUUCACCAGGUAAGAAACACUUUUUUUUUUAAUAGAAUCUACAAAGGGACAUUUCUGAGCAAAUUGAGGCUAAGAGUAAAAAAUCAAAUAUCACACGAUAAAAACUAGUAACAAGCUAUCUGUGAAAAUGCUUUUCAAUGUUUGAAUUCAUUUCACAGAGUUAAACCUUUGUUUUGAUUGAACAGGUUGGAGACACUCUUUUUAUAGGAUCUACCAAGAGACAUUUCUGACCUCAUUGAGGCCAAUAGUAAAAAAUCAAAUGUCUCAUGAUAAAAAGUAAAAAGAUGCUAUCUGUGAAAAUGCUUUCUGGAGUGGAGAUUUAUCUCAGUGAAUUGAAUCUGUGUUUUGAUUCACCAGGUUGGAAACCUUCUUUUUGUAAAACCUACAGUGGGACAUUUCUGAGCUCAUUGAGGCUUGUAGUGAAAAACUGAGUUUCCUGCAAUAAAAACCGAAAACAGGUUAUCUGUGAAAGUGAUUUGUGAUGUGCAAAUUCAUCUCAUGAAAAUAAACCUCUGCUUUGAUUGAAUAAAUGGGAAGAACUUUUUUGUAGAAAUUUCUGAGCUCCUUUAGGUCUAUAGCAAAAAAAUCUAAUAUCCUGCAAACAAAACUAGAAACAAGCUACAUGUGAAGGUGCUUUCUGAUGUGUGAAUUCAUCUCACCAAAUGAAACUCGUGUUUUGAUUUAGUAGGUUGAAAACAAUCUUUUUGAAGAAUAUACGAAGGGACAUUACUGAGCUUAUUGAGGCUUAUAUUGAAAAACUGAAUAUCCCACAAAAUAAACUAGAAACAAGUGAUCUGUGAAAAUAGUUGGCCAUGUGUAAAUUUAUCUCACACAGUUAAACCCUUUUUUUGACUCAACAAAUUAGAACUCUUUUUGUAGAAUCUAUGAAGGGACAUUUCUGAGCUCAUUGAGGCCUAUCGUGAAAAACUGAAUAUCCCAUGAUGAAAACUAGAAAGAAGCUAUCUGUGAAAAUAUUUAGCAAUGUGUUCUUUCAUCUCACAGAGUUAAAUCUUUUUUUUUUUUUAUUCACCAUAUUGGAAAUACUCUUUUUGUAGAAUCUACAAAGAAACAUUUCUGAGCCCAUUGAAGCCUAUAGUAAAAAAACAAAUAUUCUGCAGUUGAAACUAGAAACAAUCUCUUUGAAAAUGCCUUGUGAUGUGUGGAUGCAUCUCAUUAAAAGGAGCCUGUGUUUUGGUUCACCAGAUUGGAAACACUUUUUUGUAGAAUAUACGAUGGGAUGUAUCUGAGCCCAUUGAGGCCUAUAGUAAAAAAUGGAAUAUCUUGCAAUAAAAAACUAGAAACGAGCUAUCUUUGAAUAUGCUUUCUGAUGUGUGGAUUCAUCUCACAGAGUUAAACCUUAUUUUUGACUCACCAAGAUGGAAAUACUUUUUUUUGUAGAAUCUAUGAUAAGACAUUUCUGAGUCUAUUGAUGUGUAUAGUGCCAAACAGAAUAUCCCACAAUAAAAACUAGAAACAAGCUAUCUGGGAAAAUGCCUUGUGAUGUUUUCAUUCAUCUUAGAGAGUUAAACCAUUGUUGUAAUUAAACAGGUUGGAAACACUCUCUUUGUAGAAACUACGAAUUGACAUUUCUGAGCCCUUUGAGGCCUACAGUGAAAAACAGAAUAUCCAGUGAUUAAAACUAAAAACUUUCUGUCUGUGAAAAUGCUUUGUGAUGUGUGGAAGCAUCUCAUAGAGUUAAACCUUUGUUUUGGUUCAACAGGUUGGAAACACUUUUUUAGUAGAAUCUAUGAGAAAAUCUUUGUGAACCCAAUGAGGACUCUGUGUGUGUGUUUGUGUGUGGGGGGGGUGGGGGGGCAGGAAACAACGAGGAUUUCAUGAUGGAAACUGGAAAGAACCAUCUGUGAAAAUGGUUUGUGAUGUGUGGAUUCACCUCACAGAAUUAAACCUUUGGUUUGAUAGAACAGAUUGAAAACACUGUUUUUGUACAAUCUAAAAAGAGACAUUUCUGAGCCCAUUGAAGCCUGACGUGAAAAACCAAGGGUCUCACAAUAAAAACGAAUUACAAGCUAUCUGUGAAAAUGCUUAGCAAUGUCCGGAUUCAUCUCACUGAAUAGACCCUGUGUUUUGAUUCACCAGGUUGGAAACUCUUUCUGCAGAAUCUGCAAAGAAAUAUUUCUGAGCCCAUUGAGGCCUACAGUGGAAAACUGAAUAUUCUGUGAUAAAACUAGAAACACCCUAUCUGUGAAAAUGCUUUGUGAUGUGUGGAUUUUUCUCAUCGAAUGGAACCUCUGUUUUGACUCACAAGGGUGAAACACUAUUUUAGUAGAAUCUAGGAAGAAACAUAUCUGAGCCCAUUUAUGCCUACAGUGAGAAACUGAAUACCCUGCAAUAAAAAGUAGACAGAAGCUAUUUGUAAAAAUGCUUUGUGAUGUGUGGAUUCAGUGUUAAACUUUUAUUUUGAUUCCACAGUUUUGACACCCUAUUUGUAGAAUAUAUGAAUGAACAUUUCUCAGCCCAUUGAGGCCUAUCAU